Molecule: non-coding RNA, 325 nt
Organism: Pogona vitticeps (central bearded dragon)
Lineage: Eukaryota; Metazoa; Chordata; Lepidosauria; Squamata; Agamidae
Source: RefSeq, a predicted model, not a curated record
UCUCAAAACUAAGAGUGCUUCUUGACAAUGAAGUUCACCCAUGAUUGCAAGGGGGACAAGUUUUAAUCAGCAUACUUCAUUUAUCAGCCACCACUUUUUAACACUCCUUGCAAGUCGAUUAAGACCACUCUAGGCGGCUGAGAGGUGGGGACAUGUGCAGAGGCCACCAGUCCAUGGAGCUCUCUCAAAAUGGUGAUGGCGACAGGAGGAAGAAAAGGCUGAAACAGACUAAGAGGGCUCCCUGUCUGCAAAUUUGUCCAAUGCUGUCACAUAUGUUUCAAUUUUUUUUAAAAAAAAAUCUCAAUUCAUCUUCAAAGCAUGGGGA